AUAUCAAUAAGCGGAGGAAAAGAAACUAACAAGGAUUCCCCUAGUAACGGCGAGUGAAGCGGGAAGAGCUCAAAUUUAAAAUCUGGCAGUGUAUUCUGUCCGAGUUGUAGUCUAGAGAAGCAUCAUCCGUGCUGGACCAUGUACAAGUCUCUUGGAACAGAGCGUCAUAGAGGGUGAGAAUCCCGUCCUUGACAUGGACUCCCAGUACUUUGUGUUGUGCUCUCAACGAGUCGAGUUGUUUGGGAAUGCAGCUCAAAAUGGGUGGUAAAUUCCAUCUAAAGCUAAAUAUUGGCGAGAGACCGAUAGCGAACAAGUACCGUGAGGGAAAGAUGAAAAGCACUUUGGAGAGAGAGUUAAACAGUACGUGAAAUUGUUGAAAUGGAAACGCUUGAAGUCAGUCGCGUUCUCUGGGAUUCAGCCUUGCUUUUGCUUGGUGCAUUUCCUAGUCUACGGGCCAGCAUGAAUUUUGACCAGUGGAAAAAGGCUUGGGGAAUGUGGCACCUUUGGGUGUGUUAUAGCCCCUUGUCACAUACAUUGGUUGGGAUUGAGGUCUUAGUGCACGCUUCGGUUGUGCUUUGAUGCUGGCGUAAUGGCUUUAAACGACCCGUCUUGAAACACGGACCAAGGAGUCUAACAUGUCUGCAAGUGUUUGGGUGCAAAACCCGAGCGCGUAAUGAAAGUGAUAGUUGGGAACCUCUUUAGAGGGGCACCGACGCCCGGACCAGACCUUCUGUGACGGAUCCGAGGUAGAGCAUAUAUGUUGGGACCCGAAAGAUGGUGAACUAUGCCUGCAUAGGGUGAAGCCAGAGGAAACUCUGGUGGAGGCUCGUAGCGAUUCUGACGUGCAAAUCGAUCGUCAAAUGUGGGUAUAGGGGCGAAAGACUAAUCGAACCAUCUAGUAGCUGGUUCCUGCCGAAU
Molecule: ribosomal RNA, 918 nt
Filed under: Rhizoctonia solani
Lineage: Eukaryota; Fungi; Basidiomycota; Agaricomycetes; Cantharellales; Ceratobasidiaceae
Also listed under: 1 other name
Description: partial large subunit ribosomal RNA
Rfam family: Eukaryotic large subunit ribosomal RNA
Source: RNAcentral